UUUUUAUGUUACAGAUCUGUGUAUACCAGUAAUAAUUGCUAUAUAUGUAAUGCAUGGUUACUUUUUCUUUUUAAUAUGUUUUGUUACUGUAAUUGUAACAAAUUGUAGCUUGGUCAACUGGCAUGGAAGUGUAGACUGAAUGCGUUCAUUGAAAACUUAUCAGAGGGUGGUAAAUGGUAUAUUCGUAAACCGCGUGAAUUGUCAAUAUUUGUUUUCGUGAAAUGUGAAACGACG
Non-coding RNA from Paramuricea clavata, 234 nucleotides. The record is from the annotation of a GenBank genome assembly. Lineage: Eukaryota; Metazoa; Cnidaria; Anthozoa; Malacalcyonacea; Plexauridae.